AACCCAUGGUGAGGGCACCAUCUCAGUAAGUCAUUAUACCUCUCCCAUGCAUCAUAUAAGGUUUCUAAGCCGAUUUGAAUGAAAUAAAAGAUAUCAUUCCUUAACUU
Gossypium arboreum is the source of this 107-nucleotide small nucleolar RNA. It matches the Rfam family "Plant small nucleolar RNA R71". From Rfam's summary of the family: R71 is a member of the C/D box family of snoRNAs containing the C (UGAUGA) and D (CUGA) box motifs. Multiple nearly identical copies of this snoRNA have been identified in Arabidopsis, and it is thought to function as a 2'-O-ribose methylation guide for 18S ribosomal RNA. The record is from Rfam. Lineage: Eukaryota; Viridiplantae; Streptophyta; Magnoliopsida; Malvales; Malvaceae.